Molecule: ribosomal RNA, 458 nt
Filed under: Pseudospirobolellus sp. CUMZ D00118
Lineage: Eukaryota; Metazoa; Arthropoda; Diplopoda; Spirobolida; Pseudospirobolellidae
Description: partial large subunit ribosomal RNA
Rfam family: Bacterial large subunit ribosomal RNA
Source: RNAcentral
GGUUUUUUGGCUUAUAUAGGAGAUCGAGCCUGCCCAUUGAUUAAAGGGCUGCAGUAUUUUGACUGUACAAAGGUAGCAUAAUCAUUAGUUUUUUAAUUGGAGACUGGUAUGAAUGGUUUGACAAAGUCCGACUGUCUUUGGGGUAUUGAAUGAAUUUUCUUUUGUGUGAAAAGGCACAGAUGGGUUAGGGGGACGAGAAGACCCUAUUAAGCUUGAAUUUUAGAAUUAGAGGAAAAGGGAAUAUUUGGCUGGGGCGGCAGAUAGCACAAAUUUUAUGGUAUUUCUUAAUGAAGUGAGAUCCAGUAUACUGAGAUAAGGAAAUAGCUACUAUAGGGAUAACAGCGUAAUAUUUUCUGAGAGUUCUUAUUGACGGGAAUGAUUGCGACCUCGAUGUUGGAUUAAGAAUACUGUUUGGUGAAGUUGCUGAAUAAGAGGGUUUGUUCAACCUUUAAAUUCUU